UUAAAAAAAGUUUCAAUUCGCGUUUUUCCUUCCACUUUAUUCGUUUUUGCUUAGACGAUAUUCGCAUUUAUUAUUAGAAAAAAUUUCAUUCGCGCUUCUCCUUUGACCUGAUUCGUUUCUGCUUAUACGAUAUUGGUGUUUCUCUCUACUUAGAUGUUUUCAUCUGCGUAUGCUUUCAUCAGUGCGUGUUUCCUUCGUUUUUCAUCAGUACAAGGUGCCGCAAGCUGUACGACUGUCAUUUUAGGUAUCACAUUCCCUCUUCUCCUUCUCUUCUCUUUUUUGUUUCUGGUUCUUUGUUUCUGCUUACAUUCUCUGCCCUUUCGAUCCGCGUGUGGCACUCAUCAGUGCGUGUGGCGUCUUUGCUCCUUCAUUUCAGUUGCCAUUUUCAUAAGUGCUUGUUGCCUCAAGCUCCUUAAUUUUUGGACUGCCAUUUUAGGUAUCACAUUCCCUCUUUCUCCUUCUCUUCUCUAUUUUGGUUCUUCUUUGCCCUAUUUUUCUUUUAAAAG
RNAcentral lists this long non-coding RNA (506 nucleotides) under Vigna radiata. RNAcentral's name for it is "long non-coding RNA (VRAD_LNC014698)". The record is from RNAcentral. Lineage: Eukaryota; Viridiplantae; Streptophyta; Magnoliopsida; Fabales; Fabaceae.